CGGCGGACGGGUGAGUAACGCGUGGGUAACCUGCCUCAUACAGGGGGAUAACAGUUGGAAACGGCUGCUAAUACCGCAUGAAGCAGGGGCCCCGCAUGGGGAUAUUUGCUAAAGAUUCAUCGCUGAUAGAUAGGCAUGCGUUCCAUUAGGCAGUUGGCGGGGUAACGGCCCACCAAACCGACGAUGGAUAGGGGUUCUGAGAGGAAGGUCCCCCACAUUGGUACUGAGACACGGACCAA
Molecule: ribosomal RNA, 239 nt
Filed under: uncultured bacterium
Lineage: Bacteria
Description: partial 16S ribosomal RNA
Rfam family: Bacterial small subunit ribosomal RNA
Source: RNAcentral